GUUUGCUCUUCGCUCCUUUAUCGAGACCCUAACACUCGUUCUCCUCUCAACCAGCCGUUACAACAUCUCACUCUGCUUCAAAACCCAAAAUCAUUGGAUUAAGAUUUUUCAGUUCGAGAUUGCUCCAACCUGCUACAAAUGGAAACACCGGCGGCGACGACGGUGACGACAACUGUCUUCCCAUCAUCGGCCGAUCCAUUUAAGCCGUCGAUUUUCCUCGGAGGGUCCAUCGAAUUGGCAUUCCGUUCCAAUUUUCAGAUCUCCAGUAAGAAUCAUGAAUGCACUCAUUAUUACUUCCCUACUUGCAAAGCAAAGUUUGAUUUUGAGUUAUCUGAUUCAGAAAAAUCACAGCCGAAAGUCAAGUUGACUUGUCUGGAAGGAGAGAGUCCCCAGAGGAAUUCACUUACAAGGAUGUUGAUUUUCCAAAGUCAGUGGAUUGGAGAAAGAAAGGUGUUGUAACCCAAGUUAUGAAUCAAGGUUCAUGUGGUAGUUGCUGGGCAUUUUCCACUGUUGCAGCUGUUGAGGGAAUAAAGAUGGAAUAUAUAUUGACUGUGACAGAACUUACAACAAUGGUUGCAAUGGGGGUCUCAUGGACUAUGCAUUCUCCUUUAUAGCAGAAAGUGGUGGAAUCCAUAAAGAGGACGAUUAUCCUUACAUUAUGGAGGAAGGUACUUGCGAGAUGAGAAAGGCUUGGAAGCAAAGCUUACAGAGCCUUCUAUCUCGAAAACAUGAUUCCGAUAUUGGGUUCCAUGGAAGAUGGAGAGAUAAGCAUAUCUGCUUAUGACACAGUUUAGGGAUAAAAUCUCUGAAGCAGAAGGCAUUGUCUAAUGUGACAGGUAUAUUGAAUAAACUAUUAUAGUUAACAAAGGUAAAGGUGCAUUGUAGGUGGUGGAAAAUAUUAAUAAAGUAGUGUUGACGUUUCUUAUCUUUUUUGUGAGACACGAGUGGAAGAAGUUAAUGCAGAUAGUAGGACAAGCAAAGUAGUAGUGUUAAAGAAGCGCAGGCUUGACGAGUAACCAUCUAAACACCAAAUACCAUGCUUUGGUUUCCAUUCUUUGUCAUUGGUUCAAAUGGAAAUUCAAUUGCCUUGUUCCAAGUGCUGUUUGAUUAUGAGAUUUACCAAAGUCAAUUCAUUAAUAAUUAUAACAAAUCUAUUUGCUCACAUUUGAAUCUGAUGUCAGUUUGAGUUACUUUCAAAAGUAAGUCACGUUGUAUUAAAUGAA
This is an RNA transcript of Gastrolobium bilobum, 1223 nucleotides long. RefSeq lists it as uncharacterized. The transcript has 8 exons. NCBI's taxonomy places the organism in Eukaryota, Viridiplantae, Streptophyta, Magnoliopsida, Fabales, Fabaceae. The record is from RefSeq and is a predicted model, not a curated record.